RNAcentral lists this ribosomal RNA (492 nucleotides) under uncultured bacterium. Its description in RNAcentral is "partial 16S ribosomal RNA". It matches the Rfam family "Bacterial small subunit ribosomal RNA", at positions 29 to 507 of the family's 1533-position model. The record is from RNAcentral.
AGUGAACGCUGGCGGUAGGCCUAACACAUGCAAGUCGAACGGCAGCACAGUAAGAGCUUGCUCUUACGGGUGGCGAGUGGCGGACGGGUGAGGAAUACAUCGGAAUCUACUUUUUCGUGGGGGAUAACGUAGGGAAACUUACGCUAAUACCGCAUACGCCCUACGGGUGAAAGCAGGGGAUCUUCGGACCUGGCGCGAUUCAAUGAGCCGAUGUCGGAUUAGCUAGUGGGCGGGGUAAAGGCCCACCAAGGCGACGAUCCGUAGCUGGUCUGAGAGGAUGAUCAGCCACACUGGAACUGAGACACGGUCCAGACUCCUACGGGAGGCAGCAGUGGGGAAUAUUAGACAAAGGGCGCAAGCCUGAUCCAGCCAUACCGCGUGGGUGAAGAAGGCCUUCGGGUUGUAAAGCCCUUUUGUUGGGAAAGAAAAGCAGCAGGUUAAUACCCCGCUGUUCUGACGGUACCCAAAGAAUAAGCACCGGCUAACUUCGUG